GUCUCGCUCCCUUGUUUUCACGGUUGGAGAUGGGGAUGAUGACGGACCAGCCAGCCGAACUCAAAUUAGAUUAGGCAUCAUGCGCCACCUGGUUGCUGAAGCUCGAGAGGACCUUUAUGGACAAAAAAUCCUGUUCAAGAUAGUUCAAGAUAGUUCUGUCUGGAAUUCCAUACCACCUCCAGAGAAUGGAAAAUGUCUUCAAAUUCUGAUGUGCCAGCAGCCUGAAGUGGUCAAACAAUUUGAAACUGGAUGCAGCACAGAAUCCCAUAUUUCAAGAGAAUGCAGAUGUUAGUCACCCCUGUCAAACUUGUUUGUGUGAAUAAUACCAAAUGUGACAUUUACACCAAAUAUGUAAUAAUUGAGCAACGUAUAGACAAUUGCAAAACUCUGUUCUGUUAAUUUUGUGCCAUAUUUAGCAUUUAAAACAAGAUGCUUUCAGUUUUUGCUGGUUUGUUCGGUUUCUUUUAUUCAUGAUUUUUUUCAAGAAGACACCAGUUCGGUGUAUAGUAGUUAUGGUGUUUUAACUGUCAAUGAAGCCAAGAUCACUGUAUGUUGUUGAACUGAUAUAUAUGUUAAACAUUGAAGAUCCAGCUGUCAGUACAGAAAACAUUGAUUGUGCUUUUGAGAACACUGAAUUUUAUUAACAUAAUUUGACGCUGUACAUAUUGCAAGCUUUUUUUCAAAUCUAUAUAAAUUAAUAUAAAACUGUAGCCUUAAUUUGUGCAUAUUAACAUAUGUGAAUAAUUUAAUAGCCUCAUGAUGUCAUUCUGUAUAAAUUAUAUAAUAUAAUCAUUUUAAUUGUCUCAAUGGUUUCAUAUAUAAAUGGUUUUGGAACUGAAAUUUGGUCUUCCUCUAUUGGCUGGUACACUCAACAAAUAUAAAAAAAUAUAUGAAAUAGUGCUUAGUGAGCUCAGCUGACAGUUUUUCAUUGGGUUCUUAUUUGGGUGUGUUCCAACAAUAUCACUGCCUUGAUUACUUUUAUUGUAUAUUCUAUAUAGGUGCUAAAUUUAGAAUAUAUUUUCAGCUUUGUUGAAUGUUGAUUGUAAUUUAUCAUUAUGCCCCCCUUCGAAGAAGAGGGGUAUAUUGCUUUGCACAGGCAUGUCGGUCGGUCGGUCCGUCGGUAGACCAAAGCUUGUCCGAGUGAUAACUGAACAAUUCCUGGAGGUAUGGUCAUCAAACUUCACAUGAAGGUUGGGCCUGACCAGUAGAUGACCCCUAUUGAUUUUGGGGGUCAUCGGGUCAAAGGUCAAGGUCACAGUGACCUUUAAUGGUAAAAUAAUUUUAAAGCUUGUCCGAGUGAUAACUCAACAAUGCCUGCAUCCAUGGCCCUCAAAUUUGACAUGGAGGUUGGGCCUGACCAGUAGAUGACCCCUAUUGUUUUUGGGGGUCAUCAGGUCAAAGGUCAAGGUCACAGUGACCUUGAAUGGUAAAAGGUUGUCCGAGUGAUAACGUGACAAUGCCUGCACCCAUGGCCCUCAAACUUGACUUGGAGGUUGGGCCUGACCAGUAGCUGACCCCUAUUGUUUUUUGGGCUCAAUGAGUCAAAGGUCAAGGUCACAAAGACCUUGAAUGGUAAAAGGUUGUUCGAGUGAUAACUCAACAAUGCCUGCACCCAUGGCCCUCAAACUUGACUUGGAGGUUGGGCCUGACCAGUAGAUGACCCCUAUUGUUUUUGGGGGUCAUUGGCCAAAGAUCAAGGUCACAGUGACCUUGAAUGGUAAAAGGUUGUCCGAUUGAUAACUCAACAAUGCCUGCACUCAUGGCCCUCAAACUUGACUUGGAGAAUUGGCCUGACCAGGAGAUGACCCCUAUGGUUUUUGGGGGUCAUCUGGCCAAAGGUCAAGGUCACAGUGACCUUGAAUGAUAAAAGGUUGUCCGAGUGAUAACUUGACAAUGCCUGCACCCAUGGCCCUCAAACUUGACUUGGAGGUUGGGCCUGGCCAGAAGAUGGUCCCUAUUGAUUUAAGGGGUCAUUGGGUCAAGGUCACAGUGACCUGGAAUGGUAAAAGGUUAUCCGAGUGAUAACUUGACAAUGGCUGCACCCAUGGCCCUCAAACUUGAUAUGGAGGUUGAGUCUGGCCAGGAGAUUGUCCCUAUUAAUUUUAGGGGUCAUUGGGCCAAAGGUCAAGGUCACAGUGACCUUGAAUGAUAAAAGGUUGUCCAAGUGAUAACUCAACAAUGCCUGCACCCAUGGCCCUCAAACUUGACAUGGAGGUUGGGCCUGACCAGUAGAUGACCCCUAUUGAUUUUAGGGGUUAAAGGUCAAGGUCACAGUGACCUUGAAAGCAAACUCGACAAUUCUUGGACCUAUAGUCAUCAAACUUGACAUGGAGGUUGGGCCUGACCAGUAGAUGACCCCUAUUGAUUUUAGGGGUCAAAGGUCAAGGUCACAGUGACCUUGAAAGCAAACUCGACAAUUCUUGGACCUAUGGUCAUCAAACUUGACAUGAAGGUUGGGCCUGCCCAGUAGAUGACCCUUAUCGACUUUGGGGGUCAUCAGGCCAAGGUCAAUGUCACAGUAACCUUUAACGCAAAAAAGUUAACAAAUCUCGCCCCACUGAUAUCUCAACAAUGCCUGAACCUAUGAUCAUUAAACUUGACAUGGAUGUUAAGCCUGACCAGUAGAUCACCCUUAUUGAUUUUAGGAUUCAUAGAGCCAAAGGUCAAGGUCACAGUAAUCUUGAAUGGUAAAAGGUUGUCCGAGUGAUAACUCAACAAUGCCUGAACAUAUGGCCUUCAAACUUGACUUGGAGUUGCAUCUGACUUGUAGAUGACCCCUUAUGAUUUAAGGGGUCAUCGGGUCAAAGGUCAAGGUCACAGUGACCUUGAACGAAAAAAACUUGUCUUGUGAUAACUUGACAAUGCCUGCACCCAUGGCCCUCAAACUUGACAUUUAGGUUUCUGGUGACCAGCUGAUGACUCUGGAUUUUGAGUUCAUAGAGUCAAAGGUCAUGACGGUCAUAACACACUUUAUCCUCACACUUUAAUGGUCAUAAUCUUCAUUCAAUUGUCCAUAUAAUCCUGACAACAUGGCGCUCAGGGGGGGCAUAAUGUUUGACAAACAUCUCUUGUUUCUUUUUAGAUCACCCUGUGGGUUAAACAUUAUGUGAGGGUUAGAAGUCAUUUGUUUGUAAUUACACCUUGAUAAGUUUAAUCUUUAAUACACUGGGUCUUGAAAGUCCCAUGAUAUGAACAAUUGGUUUUGACUAUGUUCAUGCUUCAUUUAGAAUAAACCUCAUAAGAGGUCAUAACAGAUUGGGCCUUUAAAAGUUAGAAAAUUUUAACAUUUAUUUAUUCAUACAAUUUUAUUUCCCACCAGAUGUAAAAAACAACAACCUUUUUAUCAAAAAGCAAGACAAAAAGGUCACUGUUGGUGAUCUGUAAAAAAAUACAUGUAUUGCUGCAUAUUUAACUGUCACAGGUCUUUUGGUGUAUACAUGAUUUUAGCAAAGCUGUUUACAAUAUUAAUUAAUUGUAAUUUAGAUAAUUUUGAUCAUUAGACAUGAUGUUUGUCAGAUUUGUCAUUGCAAACACAAAUUAUUUUAAAAUUUAUUGAAAGCAUCGUUUAGAUAAUUCUGUAAUUAAAGCAGAAUUGUAUUUGCCCUUAAAAUCUAAACAACACAUUAGUUCAUAAUUAACAUUUUGCAACAUUUUGGGUGGGGGUUUGGUGUAUGUUUUUGUAACAAACAAAUAAGAAUAUAUUCUCUAUUCUCACUGAGAUAUUUUGCAGACAAUUUUCCAGAGCUGCUUGGCUACAUAUUGUUCAUAUACAAUCAUAAUUAUUAGUAAUUGAUUAAAUGUUUUGCCAUUUUUACCAUCAUAUUUAAAUAGAUUUUUGCCCAUUCAAUUCUAGUUAAAAUUAUAAUUACCCCUGCUUGUUAUAUACUUUAGUGCAACAUUAUUGAUAUGUGAUCAUUUUUAGAUUGACUAUUCGAAGAAUAAGGACAGCUAUCUUAGUCACCCGAGUGUCAGCGUCAGCAUUACCACUUAUGUUAAAGUUUGCGUACCACCUCAAAUAUUUUCAAAGUCCAUUGACAUACUGUUUUGAAACUUCGCACGUUUGUUAUCCCCCGCCUAUGAAAUAGGGAGGGGGAUAUUGAAAUGGCGUUGUCCUUCCAUCCGUCCGUCACCUGCGUUUUCUCAGUAACUAGCCGGUAGAAUUUCAUGAAACUUAAAAUAAAUAUGAACCAUUAUACUGGAAUGAUGCCCGUCCAAAAAAAUUUGAUUGGUCAAUUGUCCUUGGAGUUAUUGCCCUUGAUUUUUUUUUAAAAAUGCACAUUCACGGCCAUUUCUCAGUCACUAGCUGGCAGAAUUUCAUGAAACUUAAAAUAAAUAUGAAUUACUAUACUGGGAUGAUGCCUGUUCAUUUUUUUUUUGGAUUGGUCAAUUGUACUUGGAGUUAUUGCCCUUGAUUUUUUUAAAAACUCUCAUUUACAGCCAUUUCUCAGUAACUAGUUGGUAGAAAUUCUUGAAACUUGAAAUAAAUAUGAACCAACAUACUGCGAUGAUGCCUGUUUAUUUAUAUUUUGGAUUGUGUAAUUUCUAUAUGAGUUAUUUGCCCUUGAUUUAUUAAAAGAUCCAUGUUUGCAGCCUUUUCUAUGCAACUAGCUGGUAGAAUUUCAUGACACUUGGAAUAAAUAAGAACCAACAUACUGUGAUGAUGCCUGUCUAUUUUUCUUUUGGAUUGGUCAAUUUUCCUUAGAGUUAUUGCCCUUGAUUUAUUAAAAAAUCAUUGUUUGGAGCCGUUUCUCAGUAACUAGCUGCUAGAAUUUAAUGAAACUUGAAUGUUAUAUGAACCAACAUUCUGCAAUGAACUUGUUUGGUGAAUUUCUACGGCUACAUUUUUAUCUCAACUAUUGAGUACUAUUUUGCAAUGAUUGAUGUUUCUGAGUGAGCAGUUUCGGAAAAGACAUUUUUAUUUAAUCAUCCCUCUGAUUUAUUUCGUUAAAAAAAAUUAUCAUAAAGUUGUCCCGGUCGAUAUUUUAUAAUUUGGCUCGGAAAGGGAUAAACCAAUGUGCUUAUCUUAUUCUUUCUGAGAUUUUUUUUAACCUUCAAGCACAAACAAGCCAUCGUUGGCGGGGGAUAUCUUUUCACUGAAAAUGCUUGUUCACCAUCAUGCUCCCAACCUGUACACAGGAGGUCACUGUAUCGAGCAUUUUGACAGAAUUAUGCCCCUUUUUUACUUAGACUUUACGUGUAAGUUUGCGUACCAACUCAAAUAUUUUCAAAGUCCAUUGACAUCUGGCUUUGAACUUUGCACGCUUGUUCACCAUUAUGCCCAAAACCUGUACACAGGAGGAGGUAACUCUAUCGAGCAUUUGACACAAAAUUAUGCCCCUUUUUCAACUUACAAUUUAUGUUAAAGUUUGCGUACCACCUCAAAUAUUUUCCCAUUCAAUUUAUGUAAAUAUCUCAGCACAUCAUGUAUUGCAUUGAAAUCUAAUAUAACAGUGAUCAAUGCAUGUUUCUCCAAAACUUUUCAAUCCAUACACCGAAAAGCGGCGGAAUAGUCCAGCGCGCUGUCUCUGUGACAGCUCUUGUUUUUUUGUUGUUGUUUUUUGUAACAUAUUCCUCAAAUGCGUUUGUGUACUUGAUCUCAAAUGCAUAGUAGCUUUAUUUAAGUUAAUUAAGAAAAAUAACUCUAAACUUCACAUAAAAUAUAAACUAAUGCAUUAUAUAUAAUGUAUACACUAUUAUUGAAGAUUGUUGCGUAUACACAAAAUAA
Mya arenaria is the source of this 5725-nucleotide long non-coding RNA. RefSeq lists it as uncharacterized. Lineage: Eukaryota; Metazoa; Mollusca; Bivalvia; Myida; Myidae. The transcript has 4 exons. The record is from RefSeq and is a predicted model, not a curated record.